This 494-nucleotide ribosomal RNA is filed under the name uncultured Actinomycetes bacterium. RNAcentral describes it as "bacterial SSU rRNA". It matches the Rfam family "Bacterial small subunit ribosomal RNA", at positions 355 to 859 of the family's 1533-position model. The record is from RNAcentral. Lineage: Bacteria; Bacillati; Actinomycetota; Actinomycetes.
UGGGGAAUAUUGCACAAUGGGCGCAAGCCUGAUGCAGCGACGCCGCGUGAGGGAUGACGGCCUUCGGGUUGUAAACCUCUUUCAACGCCGACGAAGCGUAAGUGACGGUAGGCGUAGAAGAAGCACCGGCCAACUACGUGCCAGCAGCCGCGGUAAUACGUAGGGUGCGAGCGUUGUCCGGAAUUACUGGGCGUAAAGAGCUCGUAGGUGGUUGUCGCGUUGUUCGUGAAAACUCACAACUCAAUUGUGGGCGUGCGGGCGAUACGGGCAGACUGGAGUACUGCAGGGGAGACUGGAAUUCCUGGUGUAGCGGUGGAAUGCGCAGAUAUCAGGAGGAACACCGGUGGCGAAGGCGGGUCUCUGGGCAGUAACUGACGCUGAGGAGCGAAAGCGUGGGGAGCGAACAGGAUUAGAUACCCUGGUAGUCCACGCCGUAAACGGUGGGUACUAGGUGUGGGUUUCCUUCCGUUGGGAUCCGUGCCGUAGCUAACGCA